UGGGGAAUUUUGGACAAUGGGCGCAAGCCUGAUCCAGCCAUGCCGCGUGCAGGAUGAAGGCCUUCGGGUUGUAAACUGCUUUUGUACGGAACGAAAAGGUGCCUUCUAAUAAAGGGCGCUCAUGACGGUACCGUAAGAAUAAGCACCGGCUAACUACGUGCCAGCAGCCGCGGUAAUACGUAGGGUGCGAGCGUUAAUCGGAAUUACUGGGCGUAAAGCGUGCGCAGGCGGUUUUGUAAGACAGAGGUGAAAUCCCCGGGCUCAACCUGGGAACUGCCUUUGUGACUGCAAAGCUGGAGUGCGGCAGAGGGGGAUGGAAUUCCGCGUGUAGCAGUGAAAUGCGUAGAUAUGCGGAGGAACACCGAUGGCGAAGGCAAUCCCCUGAGCCUGCACUGACGCUCAUGCACGAAAGCGUGGGGAGCAAACA
Molecule: ribosomal RNA, 427 nt
Filed under: uncultured bacterium
Lineage: Bacteria
Description: bacterial SSU rRNA
Rfam family: Bacterial small subunit ribosomal RNA
Source: RNAcentral